RNAcentral lists this ribosomal RNA (498 nucleotides) under uncultured bacterium. RNAcentral's name for it is "bacterial SSU rRNA". It matches the Rfam family "Bacterial small subunit ribosomal RNA", at positions 29 to 518 of the family's 1533-position model. The record is from RNAcentral.
AUGAACGCUAGCGACAGGCUUAACACAUGCAAGUCGAGGGGUAACAGGGUAGCAAUACCGCUGACGACCGGCGCACGGGUGAGUAACGCGUAUGCAACCUGCCUAUAACUGGGGAAUAGCUCCCUGAAAGGGGAAUUAACACCGCAUAACACUAUUGAUUCGCAUGGAUUAGUAGUUAAAUGUAGCGAUACAGGUUAUAGAUGGGCAUGCGUGACAUUAGCUAGUUGGUGAGGUAACGGCUCACCAAGGCUACGAUGUCUAGGGGUUCUGAGAGGAAGGUCCCCCACACUGGUACUGAGACACGGACCAGACUCCUACGGGAGGCAGCAGUGAGGAAUAUUGGUCAAUGGGCGCAAGCCUGAACCAGCCAUGUCGCGUGCAGGAAGACUGCCCCCUAUGGGUUGUAAACUGCUUUUAUAGUAGAAGAAACACAUCUACGUGUAGAUGUCUGCCAGUAUACUAUGAAUAAGCAUCGGCUAACUCCGUGCCAGCAGCUGC